Long non-coding RNA from Mustela lutreola (European mink), 1103 nucleotides. RefSeq lists it as uncharacterized. NCBI's taxonomy places the organism in Eukaryota, Metazoa, Chordata, Mammalia, Carnivora, Mustelidae. The transcript has 3 exons. The record is from RefSeq and is a predicted model, not a curated record.
GGCUGGUGUGCAUUCAAGUCAUUUAUUUACUUGCUUACUUUUUAUUUUCCAGAGAUGAUACAUCUGGAAAGUUGGUAUUCAGGUAGUUGGUAGAUCGUGUAGUUCAACUAAUUUCUAGAUAGAAGCUGAUUCUUUUGAUACCAGAGGCUGGAAUUCUUGGGUGCUCUAAGUCCUGGAUAUACAAUAGAUGAUGACAACAUUUUUCUGUUAUGCAUGAAGGUAGAUGAUUUUCAAAUUAAAGAUGGAACGUGACUUUUCUCACCAGAAAUGCCUUAUAGAAUCAACUUGCACAAAUGUAAGAAACACUAAAGGAAAGAGUGAAAUACUUGCUUUUAUCAUUCUUAGAUUCUUUGCUAGAUUAUAAACUCCAUGAAAGUGGGAAAGCUUCCUUAUCUGUAAUGCCUGGCCCAGAAUAGAUACUGAAAAAUACAUGAAGUGAUUUGAAACCUCCAUUAAUUUUUUUUUUUAAGAUUUUUAUUUAUUUAUUUAAUUCUCAGAGAGAGGGAGAGAGUACAAGCAGGGGGAGUGGCAGGCAGAGUAGGCAGAGGGAGAAGCAGCCUUCCUACCAAGCAAGAAGCCCGACGUAAGACUUGAUUCCAGGACCCUGGGAUCACAACCUGAACCGAAGGCAGCUGCUUAACCAACUGAACCCCCCAGGCGUCCGCAAAAAUCUUUUUAAGUCCUUGGAAAAUGGCAACCAUUUUAAUGGCAUUUCAGCAAGAUAUUUAUUUAUAUGUAAUAAUUGGGACUUCAAUUUUCACUCUGACUCUGAUGGAAAUUAUAUGUAUAGGUACAUUAAACUAUCUGAGUACCACGGAGUCUACUUAAAACACUUAGUAUUUGGGGAGCCUGGAUGGCUCAGUUGGUAAAGCCUAUGACUCUUGAUCUUAGGGUUGUGAGUUCAAGCCCCACCUUGGGUAUAAAGAUUAUUUAAAAAAUAAAAUCUUAAAAAAAAUUAAACUCUUGAUACUUAAUUAUGAUGCCUGACCCAUUACGAGUCAAUGAAGAAUGGCUACCAAAACAAUCUGGCUAUGUGAGGAAUAAUAUAAAAUGUGAGAAAGAUUUCAUUUUAUAAAAGCUGAGUGAUGUUCAUUCUUCACAUA